CGCAGGCGGUUUGUUAAUUCAGAUGUGAAAUCCCCGGGUUCAACAUUGGAACCGGAUCUGAUACUGGUAAGCUUGAGUCUCGUAGAGGGUGGUAGAAUUCCAGGUGUAGCGGUGUAAUGCGUAGAGAUCUGGAGGAAUACCGGUGGCGAAGGCGGCCCGCUGGACGAAGACUGACGCUCAGGUGCGAAAGCGUGGGGAGCAAACAGGAUUAGAUACCCUGGUAGUCCACGCCGUAAACGAUGUCGACUUGGAGGUUGUGCCCUUGAGGCGUGGCUUCCGGAGCUAACGCGUUAAGUCGACCGCCUGGGGAGUACGGCCGCAAGGUUAAAACUCAAAUGAAUUGACGGGGGCCCGCACAAGCGGUGGAGCAUGUGGUUUAAUUCGAUGCAACGCGAAGAACCUUACCUGGUCUUGAAUUCCACAGAACUUUCCAGAGAGGGAUUGUUGCCUUCGGAAACUGUAAGCGAGGUGCUGCAUGGCUGUCGUCAGCUCGUGUUGUGAAAUGUUGGGUUAAGUCCGCCACCAAGCGCAACCCUUAUCCUUUUUUGCCA
Molecule: ribosomal RNA, 551 nt
Filed under: Escherichia coli
Lineage: Bacteria; Pseudomonadati; Pseudomonadota; Gammaproteobacteria; Enterobacterales; Enterobacteriaceae
Description: bacterial SSU rRNA
Rfam family: Bacterial small subunit ribosomal RNA
Source: RNAcentral